Molecule: ribosomal RNA, 492 nt
Filed under: uncultured bacterium
Lineage: Bacteria
Description: partial 16S ribosomal RNA
Rfam family: Bacterial small subunit ribosomal RNA
Source: RNAcentral
AGUGAACGCUGGCGGUAGGCCUAACACAUGCAAGUCGAACGGCAGCACAGUAAUAGCUUGCUCUUACGGGUGGCGAGUGGCGGACGGGUGAGGAAUACAUCGGAAUCUACUUUUUCGUGGGGGAUAACGUAGGGAAACUUACGCUAAUACCGCAUACGACCUACGGGUGAAAGCAUGGGAUCUUCGGCUCUUGCGCGAUUGAAUGAGCCGAUGUCGGAUUAGCUAGUUGGCGGGGUAAAGGCCCACCAAGGCGACGAUCCGUAGCUGGUCUGAGAGGAUGAUCAGCCACACUGGAACUGAGACACGGUCCAGACUCCUACGGGAGGCAGCAGUGGGGAAUAUUGGACAAAGGGCGAAAGCCUGAUCCAGCCAUGCCGCGUGGGUGAAGAAGGCCUUCGGGUUGUAAAGCCCUUUUGCUGGGAAAGAAAAGCAGCAGGUUAAUACCCCGCUGUUCUGACGGUACCCAAAGAAUAAGCACCGGCUAACUUCGUG